AAUUGCAUGUCGAUGCUCGUGGCGAUUACUGGCCCGUUUACGCCAGCGAUUUUCAUGAUACCGCGAGUGAUGCAGCUUGGUUAUUCCACCGCGGUGUGUUUUACGUGUAAAAGAUGCAUCGAGGUCGGGGUGAGACUCUUACGAAGAUCCGAGUCGAAGAGAUUUGUACGGAAACGGUAGCAUUUGGACUGAGUUUGCGAGACGCGACGCUGUGAAUUCUUCUUUUAGCCGGCGAAGCUUUUUGAGCUUCUUUUGGCGAGAAUAGCUAGGCAAUCGGAAGA
This 281-nucleotide unclassified non-coding RNA is filed under the name Bombus terrestris (buff-tailed bumblebee). RNAcentral describes it as "misc RNA ENSBTSG00005020344.1". Lineage: Eukaryota; Metazoa; Arthropoda; Insecta; Hymenoptera; Apidae. The record is from RNAcentral.